This 253-nucleotide ribosomal RNA is filed under the name uncultured bacterium. RNAcentral's name for it is "partial 16S ribosomal RNA". It matches the Rfam family "Bacterial small subunit ribosomal RNA", at positions 524 to 776 of the family's 1533-position model. The record is from RNAcentral.
UACGUAGGUGGCAAGCGUUGUCCGGAAUUAUUGGGCGUAAAGCGCGCGCAGGCGGUCGUUCAAGUCGAGUGUGAAAGCCCCCGGCUCAACUGGGGAGGGUCACUCGAUACUGAUCGACUUGAAGGCAGGAGAGGGAAGCGGAAUUCCCGGUGUAGUGGUGAAAUGCGUAGAUAUCGGGAGGAACACCAGUGGCGAAGGCGGCUUCCUGGCCUGUUCUUGACGCUGAGGCGCGAAAGCUAGGGGAGCAAACGGG